GUGGUUUAAUUCGAUGCAACGCGAAGAACCUUACCUGUCUUGACAUCCCGGAGACCCUUAGGAACUAGGGGUGCUUCCAUCUGGAAGAAUCUGGAGACAGGUGCUGCAUGGCUGUCGUCAGCUCGUGUCGUGAGAUGUUGGGUUAAGUCCCGCAACGAGCGCAACCCUUGCCUUUAGUUGUCAGCAGUUCGGCUGGGCACUCUAAAGGGACUGCCGGUGUUAAACCGGAGGAAGGUGGGGAUGACGUCAAGUCCUCAUGGCCUUUAUGACCAGGGCUACACACGUACUACAAUGGCCGAUACAAAGGGCAGCGACACUGCGAGGUGAAGCCAAUCCCGUAAAAUCGGUCUCAGUCCGGAUUGGAGUCUGCAACUCGACUCCAUGAAGUUGGAAUCGCUAGUAAUCGUGGAUCAGCAUGCCACGGUGAAUACGUUCCCGGGCCUU
Molecule: ribosomal RNA, 444 nt
Filed under: uncultured Desulfobulbus sp.
Lineage: Bacteria; Pseudomonadati; Thermodesulfobacteriota; Desulfobulbia; Desulfobulbales; Desulfobulbaceae
Description: bacterial SSU rRNA
Rfam family: Bacterial small subunit ribosomal RNA
Source: RNAcentral